GCAUCAUUGCUCAGUUGGUUAGAGCAUUGAGCUAAUACACCAAGGUUGAGGGUUCAAUUCCCAUAUGGCC
This is a non-coding RNA of Lamprotornis superbus, 70 nucleotides long. Lineage: Eukaryota; Metazoa; Chordata; Aves; Passeriformes; Sturnidae. The record is from the annotation of a GenBank genome assembly.